This 245-nucleotide ribosomal RNA is filed under the name uncultured bacterium. Its description in RNAcentral is "partial 16S ribosomal RNA". It matches the Rfam family "Bacterial small subunit ribosomal RNA", at positions 57 to 305 of the family's 1533-position model. The record is from RNAcentral.
GCAAGUCGAACGAGAAAGCCCUUCGGGGUGAGUAGAGUGGCGCACGGGUGAGUAACGCAUGGGAACGUAGCUUUUAGUUGGGAAUAACCACGGGAAACUGUGGCUAAUACCGAAUAAUCUCGCAAGAGUAAAGAUAGCCUCUACUUGUAAGCUUUCGCUAAAAGAUCGGCCCAUGUCCCAUUAGCUUGUUGGUGAGGUAACGGCUCACCAAGGCUACGAUGGGUAGCUGGUCUGAGAGGAUGAUC